UUCUGUACUAGAAUGCAACUUCAGGAGCUCUCCAGAUAAAGACAACAGCUAUCUCUUACUUUUCCAGGAACAUAAAUAAGAUUGAUUGUGACGUUUCAGGGACAUUUUUCAAGAACAAAGAUGAUCGUGUCAUGCUGCCAUGGGCCAGGCUGUCAAGGCUAUCUCCUCCUCCACCUUGACCAGCAGUUUCGUCUUCAGAAAAUGCUCCAACUACAGCCAGAAGAACAAUGAGAACCCUUGAGGAUGCACUGGUUCAGAAAAGAGGCUGAGGGUCUUCCCUUGAACUAAAAUUUUAUAAAGUUGAUUAAGAAGAGAAAAAUAAAAUUGAGCUAGGCGUGCAGUACAAUCGGUAGUCCUUGUUAAGACAGCUUGCCCUUGGUUACACUUCCUUUAGCUGAAUGCUAUUUAUCCCAAGACUCUUUAUUUGUUCUAUAGAUAAAAUCAAAGACAUUAUGAGAUGAUAAACUCUCCGUUUGAGUUUCUCCUUUAGGUUCUGCAUACCAACAAAUCUACCCUACACUACUGAUACCAGCUGGUCUGCAGGCCCCACAAGAAACUGACUCAUGGAAGAAUGCGUUUUCCACAUCCUGAUAAUUUCAUCCCCCUUAUCUCAACCAAUCAACAAUCCCAAUUUUCCAGCUCCUUACCUUCCAUGAUUUCCUUAAACACUGAAGCCCAGUGAAAUGGAUUUGAGGCUCAAGAAUUCCUCCCACUUCCUCAUUUGGCAGGCUUGUAAUUAUUAAACUCUUUCUCUGCUGCAAA
This is a non-coding RNA of Macaca mulatta (Rhesus monkey), 762 nucleotides long. Lineage: Eukaryota; Metazoa; Chordata; Mammalia; Primates; Cercopithecidae. The record is from RefSeq and is a predicted model, not a curated record.